Molecule: ribosomal RNA, 216 nt
Filed under: Glomeromycotina sp.
Lineage: Eukaryota; Fungi; Glomeromycota
Description: partial small subunit ribosomal RNA
Rfam family: Eukaryotic small subunit ribosomal RNA (bases 40-216)
Source: RNAcentral
GGGUCAGUAGGUUGGUCGUGCCACCGGUACGUACUGGUCUCACUGAUUCCUCCUUCCUGAAGAACCGUAAUGCCAUUAAUUUGGUGUUGCGGGGAAACAGGACUGUUACUUUGAAAAAAUUAGAGUGUUUAAAGCAAGCUAACGCCUGAGUACAUUAGCAUGGAAUAAUGAAAUAGGACGAUCGAUCCUAUUUUGUUGGUUUCUAGGAUUGACGUA